This 604-nucleotide long non-coding RNA is filed under the name Malus domestica (apple). RNAcentral describes it as "long non-coding RNA (MDOM_LNC015428)". Lineage: Eukaryota; Viridiplantae; Streptophyta; Magnoliopsida; Rosales; Rosaceae. The record is from RNAcentral.
UACACUUUUACACAAAAAAUUGAGAGCAACAACAAAAUAAACACAAACAACCUUAAAUAUUUGACACAAAUUGACCAAAACAUGUUUCCUUCAACAUUCUUAAAGACAAAUCCCUCACGAAAAUUACGGUUGAAACUUCUGGAAGGCUAGGUGGUGCUAAAAAUGCAAUCACUCGGAUCAAAGAUUCAUCCAAGGUUCUUACAAGACAAACACCUCACGAAAAUUACGGUCGAAACUUCUGGAAGGCUAGGUGGUGCUGAAAAUGCAAUCACUUGGAUCAAAGAUUCAUCCAAGGUUCCAUUGUGUCCUUGUCGUUGCAUCGUGCUCUAGUCUGAAUGGUGGUAACCACAUCCAAAUUCAUGGCUCAUCUUCCGCAAGCUGCACAUUGUAUCCAUGCUUUAGGUCUGUAACAAUCAAGGUUCCAAUGAAGAAUGUUUAGAUGUUCAAUGAUCUCAUAUUUCCCCAUGAAAAUGCAAGGAUUGGCUCGGGCUUGAACAUUGGUACAUUUAGCUAAAGCUUAAAAAGAAAAAACAAAAGGUUGACGGAAGAAAAUACAUGAUAGACACGACAAGGAAUCAAGGUAAGAUGGCAACAAAGCUUCAAA